Rhodamnia argentea is the source of this 854-nucleotide long non-coding RNA. RefSeq lists it as uncharacterized. NCBI's taxonomy places the organism in Eukaryota, Viridiplantae, Streptophyta, Magnoliopsida, Myrtales, Myrtaceae. The record is from RefSeq and is a predicted model, not a curated record. The transcript has 2 exons.
CAGCCUCCAUCGUGAUCUAGAGUGGCCCCAGCGAUCAAUAUAGAGGCGUAUAGCCUCGUGGUAGGCGAUUUGCUCAAGUAGUUCCGGAUCUGUUGCGGGGACGGUUUGGGCGAAGACCCCCUGGCACCAACCUUGGUCAUCUCGAAGGAUUCCUUCAACAGAGCCUGUGCAUUCACCCGCAACCAGUGACACGUCAACAUUGAGCUUCAUGGUGCCAGCGGAUGGAGGACACCACUGCGAAGUGGUUGCCGUCGGAAAAUAUAUGCAUUCCAAGCCUUCCAAAUCUGCCAAAGGAUGUGGGCAAUGAGGGCUCCAGAUGGGGUUCGUUGGGGUGAUGCUGGGGCUAGCGCUGCGACAAGCCAGUCUUUAAUACAGGCAAGGCUGUAGGAAUUGAUAGUCACUGAAGCUUGCUGAUCGUUCCAUACUUUUUCUGUCCAAGGGCAAAGGAGAAACAAAUGCUCAAGCGUCUCGGAAUGCUGGCGAUAGAGGGUACAUAUUGAUUUAGGUAAGAUGUGUCUCCGCAUUAGAUUAUCUGCUGUAUGUACGGCGUUUUGACCAAUGUGCCAUAGGAAGUGUUUGAUCUUUAGGGGCACCUACAGUCGCCAAAUAUAGCGCCAUAGCUGUCGGGGCCGUUGAUAAGAAGAAGAUGGGUCAUGGGGUGUCCUGCAGGGGGAUGUGUGUAAAAGUUGUGCAUAGGCCAAUUUAACAGAAUUAUUACCAGUGGGGUGUGGUGCCCAUAUUAGCUGAUCUGCAGGUCUAAGGGGGUUGAGUGGAAUGGCUGAGUAUUUCGUCUACCACUUGAGUAGGGAAGUAAGUUCGCGCUAGUGUUCGUUCCACUGCAUAGAAGGUCUAAU